Long non-coding RNA from Patella vulgata (common limpet), 805 nucleotides. RefSeq lists it as uncharacterized. Lineage: Eukaryota; Metazoa; Mollusca; Gastropoda; Patellidae. The transcript is spliced from 3 exons. The record is from RefSeq and is a predicted model, not a curated record.
UAUGUAAAACACUUUCAAGUUGGAGAAGUUACAAAUAUAAUCACCGUUGUCGCCUCUCUCUUUAAACACACUAGCGACAGUCGAGAUGAAGGGCGUCUUAAUUCUAAGUUUUAUUGCCGUUCACUUAGCCUUGGUAUCUUGUCAGGCGUAUUAUGAUCAGCAGCAGGUACAGGGACAGGGUCAGUUUGAGGGGGAGGGUUGCACUGGAUUUGAGUUGGCGAUGACGUACAUCCCCCAUAGCGACUGCAACAAGUUCUACCGCUGCGCCUUACCCAGGAUGGUAAAAGAAGAAUUUAGCUGCCCUCAAGGACAGGUUUUCGACUCUAAGUACCACAACUGUCGUACUGCCAGGGACGGAGAAUGUUAACAACGUGACGUCAACACAACACAAAUCAUACCAUAUACGGCCGUCAUGUGAUGUCAACAAAAAUAUCACAUGACUAUUUUUUUUUUCAUAUACAUUGUUUUCGCCAAAUAAUAUCUCUUUUUUUUUUUUACUUUUUUUUCUUUUAAAAUACAACUGACAUUUAUACUUAUUUGCUGUUGAUAUAUAUUUUUUUAUAUUUGUAUAUUAUGAAUUAAUUAUAUACGGUGCAUCUCAUAAAGGAUCUUUGUAUAGCUUUAGUGCACUUUAAAAAGAAAUGAUGGGGUGGGGCGCCUCACCUUUUUGAAUGUAUUCCGAUAUAUUACUAGUAUUUUUUUUGUUUGUUUUUAAAAUUAUAAAUAAUGUUUACGGAUUUAAUUGAUGUUAUGUGUGGAGAUGAUUAUUUUGUAAAUUUGAUUAAAAUAAUUGUCAAAAAAAGGA